AGAAAUAUUCCUGACAAAAGAAUUACUUUGCUAGAGUAAAUAACAGAGGUUUACAUCCUCUUAUUUCUA
Mesocricetus auratus (golden hamster) is the source of this 69-nucleotide non-coding RNA. Lineage: Eukaryota; Metazoa; Chordata; Mammalia; Rodentia; Cricetidae. The record is from Rfam.